GCCAGACUCCUACGGGAGGCAGCAGUGGGGGAUAUUGCACAAUGGGGGGAACCCUGAUGCAGCGACGCCGCGUGGGUGAAGAAGCGCCUCGGCGCGUAAAGCCCUAUCGGCAGGGAAGAAGCAAGACGGUACCUGACUAAGAAGCCCCGGCUAACUACGUGCCAGCAGCCGCGGUAAUACGUAGGGGGCGAGCGUUAUCCGGAUUCACUGGGUGUAAAGGGAGCGUAGACGGCCAUGCAAGCCAGGGGUGAAAGCCCGGGGCCCAACCCCGGGACUGCCCUUGGAACUGCAUGGCUGGAGUGCGGGAGGGGCAGGCGGAAUUCCUAGUGUAGCGGUGAAAUGCGUAGAUAUUAGGAGGAACACCAGUGGCGAAGGCGGCCUGCUGGACUGCAACUGACGUUGAGGCUCGAAGGCGUGGGGAGCAAACAGGAUUAGAUACCCCAGUA
RNAcentral lists this ribosomal RNA (446 nucleotides) under uncultured bacterium. RNAcentral's name for it is "bacterial SSU rRNA". It matches the Rfam family "Bacterial small subunit ribosomal RNA", at positions 330 to 792 of the family's 1533-position model. The record is from RNAcentral.